CCUACGGGUGGCAGCAGUGGGGAAUAUUGGGCAAUGGGCGCAAGCCUGACCCAGCAAUGCCGCGUGAAGGAAGAAGGCUUUCGGGUUGUAAACUUCUGUGACAGGGGAAGAGCAGAAGACGGUACGCGGAAAACAAGCCACGGCUAACUACGGGCCAGCAGCCGCGGUAAUACGUAGGUGGAAAGCGGUGUCCGGAUUUACGGGGUGUAAAGGGCGUGUAGCCGGGAAGGCAAGUCAGAUGUGAAUUCUGGAGGCUCAACCUCCAAAUUGCAUUUGAAACUGUUUUUCUUGCGUACUGGAGCGGCAGCCGGCCUUCCUUGUGUAGCGGUGAAAUGCGUAGAUAUCAGGAGGACCCCCAGUGGCGACGGCGGUCUGCUGGACAGCACCUGACGGUGAGGCGCGAACGCGUGGGGAGCACACAGGCUUAGCUACCCUUGUAGUC
Molecule: ribosomal RNA, 442 nt
Filed under: uncultured bacterium
Lineage: Bacteria
Description: partial 16S ribosomal RNA
Rfam family: Bacterial small subunit ribosomal RNA
Source: RNAcentral